CUAUGACAGACAAGGCAAGCUCUACUCUCAGAAGCAAAAAUUAUAUAUCUAGGAGUCAGAGUAUGAAUCAAGAAGAAUGGACUUCUGCUUCUUAUCUACCUAAUGCCAGCACUCUGGCAGGCUAUGUUUCCUGGCACUGGGGUUUUGAAUGAGGAAGAAUUGCUUCCAAGCACAGUGCCCUGAGGAAAAGACCACAACCUCUACUUUAUUGUCUCUUCUUAACAACAUUUACAAUUUUUUUUUUCUCCUGCUGUUGAGGGACAAAGAGCAAAGCAACUCUGCUAAGAACGUGACAGUUACAGUUCACAUUCAACCUGCUGCCGACCUGUUUUCAGAUAUUAAAACCCUUUGGCUCAUCCUGUCCACUCCCUACUAUGUGUAGUUUACACUGGAAAAAGAAGGCUUCAAAGUGUGUCAAGAGUUAACACCUCAAGACAAUCACCACUUGGCUCUUUGAGAGCUAUCUGCCAGGAGGAGCCUCAUAGCUUGAUAGAUACACUGCAAUUUUUCAUCUUUUCAGCCAGGGUGAAUUUUGCUUUUUGACUAUGGCUUUUGGAUUUCCAAGAACAGAGAGUUGAAGCUUGUAUCUACACAAGGCUACUAAAGCACUCUAUUUGUCAGAUGUUUCAAAGAAAGCACAAGCAACAACAACAAAAAAGAUGAAUAAACUGGAUUUCAACAAAAACACAUUUGUGCUUCAGAGAACAUAAUCAAGAAAGUGAAAAGGCAACCCACCAAUGGGAGAACACAGUUUCAAAACAUAUAUCUAAUAAAAUAUUUGAGUCCAGAUU
This 791-nucleotide long non-coding RNA is filed under the name Homo sapiens (human). Its description in RNAcentral is "HSALNT0316244". Lineage: Eukaryota; Metazoa; Chordata; Mammalia; Primates; Hominidae. The record is from RNAcentral.